UGAACGCUGGCGGCGUGCCUAAUACAUGCACGUCGAGCGAACAGACGAGGAGCUUGCUCCUCUGACGUUAGCGGCGGACGGGUGAGUAACACGUGGAUAACCUACCUAUAAGACUGGGAUAACUUCGGGAAACCGAAGCUAAUACCGGAUAAUAUAUUGAACCGCAUGGUUCAAUAGUGAAAGACGGUUUUGCUGUCACUUAUAGAUGGAUCCGCGCCGCAUUAGCUAGUUGGUAAGGUAACGGCUUACCAAGGCAACGAUGCGUAGCCGACCUGAGAGGGUGAUCGGCCACACUGGAACUGAGACACGGUCCAGACUCCUACGGGAGGCAGCAGUAGGGAAUCUUCCGCAAUGGGCGAAAGCCUGACGGAGCAACGCCGCGUGAGUGAUGAAGGUCUUCGGAUCGUAAAACUCUGUUAUUAGGGAAGAACAAAUGUGUAAGUAACUAUGCACGUCUUGACGGUACCUAAUCAGAAAGCCACGGCUAACUACGUG
This 495-nucleotide ribosomal RNA is filed under the name uncultured bacterium. Its description in RNAcentral is "partial 16S ribosomal RNA". It matches the Rfam family "Bacterial small subunit ribosomal RNA", at positions 30 to 507 of the family's 1533-position model. The record is from RNAcentral.